RNAcentral lists this small RNA (293 nucleotides) under Neoroseomonas alkaliterrae. RNAcentral describes it as "5' ureB small RNA". It matches the Rfam family "5' ureB small RNA". Lineage: Bacteria; Pseudomonadati; Pseudomonadota; Alphaproteobacteria; Acetobacterales; Acetobacteraceae. The record is from Rfam by way of RNAcentral.
CCUCCUCGAUCUGUUGGGGGCAGAUGAAGUGGAUAUGCGGGUCAAUGCCGCCCGCGGUGAGGAUGCGCCCCUCGCCCGCGAUGAUCUCGGUCCCCGGGCCGAUGACGAUGGUGACGCCGGGCUGGGUGUCCGGGUUGCCGGCCUUGCCGAUGGCGGCGAUGCGCCCCUCCUUCAGCCCGACAUCCGCCUUCAGGAUCCCGGUCACGGCAUCGAGGAUCAGCGCGUUGGUGAUCACGGUGUCCAUCGCGCCCGCCGCGCGGCUCACCUGCGAUUGCCCCAUCCCGUCGCGGAUA